GAUGAACGCUGGCGGCGUGCCUAAUACAUGCAAGUCGAGCGAACAGACGAGGAGCUUGCUCCUCUGACGUUAGCGGCGGACGGGUGAGUAACACGUGUAUAACCUACCUAUAAGACUGGGAUAACUUCGGGAAACCGGAGCUAAUACCGUAUAAUCUAUUGAACCGCAUGGUUCAAUAGUGAAAGACGGUUUUGCUGUCACUUAUAGAUGGAUCCGCGCCGCAUUAGAUAGUUGGUAAGGUAACGGCUUACCAAGGCGACGAUGCGUAGCCGACCUGAGAGGGUGAUCGGCCACACUGGAACUGGACCACGGUCCAGACUCCUACGGGAGGCAGCAGUAGGGAAUCUUCCGCAAUGGGCGAAAGCCUGACGGAGCAACGCCGCGUGAGUGAUGAAGGUCUUCGGAUCGUAAAACUCUGUUAUUGGGGAAGAACAAAUGUGUAAGUAACUAUGCACGUAUUGACGGUACCUAAUCAGAAAGCAACGGCUAACUACGUG
Molecule: ribosomal RNA, 497 nt
Filed under: uncultured bacterium
Lineage: Bacteria
Description: partial 16S ribosomal RNA
Rfam family: Bacterial small subunit ribosomal RNA
Source: RNAcentral